RNAcentral lists this microRNA precursor (98 nucleotides) under Capra hircus (goat). Its description in RNAcentral is "mir-342 microRNA precursor family". It matches the Rfam family "mir-342 microRNA precursor family". Lineage: Eukaryota; Metazoa; Chordata; Mammalia; Artiodactyla; Bovidae. RNAcentral also lists the same sequence under 1 other name. The record is from Rfam by way of RNAcentral.
GGAACCGGGCACGAGGCGAGGGGUGCUAUCUGUGGUUGAGGACACGGCAAAUGGAACUGUCUCACACAGAAAUCGCACCCAUCUCCUCGGCCCGCCUU